This 492-nucleotide ribosomal RNA is filed under the name uncultured bacterium. Its description in RNAcentral is "partial 16S ribosomal RNA". It matches the Rfam family "Bacterial small subunit ribosomal RNA", at positions 29 to 507 of the family's 1533-position model. The record is from RNAcentral.
AGUGAACGCUGGCGGUAGGCCUAACACAUGCAAGUCGAACGGCAGCACAGUAAGAGUUUGCUCUUACGGGUGGCGAGUGGCGGACGGGUGAGGCAUACAUCGGAAUCUACUUUUUCGUGGGGGAUAACGUAGGGAAACUUACGCUAAUACCGCAUACGAUCUACGGGUGAAUGCAGGGGAUCUUCGGACCUUGCGUGAUUGAAUGAGCUGAUGUCGGAUUAGCUAGUUGGCGGGGUAAAGGCCCACCAAGGCGACGAUCCGUAGCUGGUCUGAGAGGAUGAUCAGCCACACUGGAACUGAGACACGGUCCAGACUCCUACGGGAGGCAGCAGUGGGGAAUAUUCGACAAUGGGCGCAAGCCUGAUCCAGCCAUACCGCGUGGGUGAAGAAGGCCUUCGGGUUGUAAAGCCCUUUUGUUGGGAAAGAAAAGCAGCAGGUUAAUACCCCGCUGUUCUGACGGUACCCAAAGAAUAAGCACCGGCUAACUUCGUG